AGAGUUUGAUCCUGGCUCAGAACGAACGCUGGCGGCGUGAUAAGACAUGCAAGUCGAACGAGACUUUCCGUUGUAGCAAUACGAUGGAAAGUUUAGUGGCGAACGGGUGCUUAACACGUGGGCAACCUGCCAUGAAGUGGGGGAUAGCUCGCCGAAAGGCGAAUUAAUACCGCAUGUGAUUAGAGAGGACAUCCUUUCGAAAUUAAAGUCGGGGCAACCUGACGCUUCUUGUGGGGCCCGCGGCCUAUCAGCUAGUUGGUGAGGUAACGGCUCACCAAGGCUUUGACGGGUAGCUGGUCUGAGAGGACGACCAGCCACACUGGGACUGAGACACGGCCCAGACACCUACGGGUGGCAGCAGUCGAGAAUUUUUGACAAUGGGGGAAACCCUGAUCGAGCGACGCCGCGUGGAGGAUGAAGGUCUUCGGAUUGUAAACUCCUGUCAUUUGGGAACAAGGUGCACACGUUAACUGCGUGCGUAUUGAUAGUACCAGAAGAGGAAGGGACGGCUAACUCUGUGCCAGCAGCCGCGGUAAUACAGAGGUCUCAAGCGUUGUUCGGAUUCAUUGGGCGUAAAGGGUGCGUAGGCGGCGCGGUAAGUCGGGUGUGAAAUCUCGGAGCUUAACUCCGAAACUGCAUUCGAUACUGCCGUGCUUGAGGACUGGAGAGGAGACUGGAAUUUACGGUGUAGCGGUGAAAUGCGUAGAUAUCGUAAGGAAGACCAGUGGCGAAGGCGGGUCUCUGGACAGUUCCUGACGCUGAGGCACGAAGGUCAGGGGAGCAAACGGGAUUAGAUACCCUAGUAGUCC
Molecule: ribosomal RNA, 809 nt
Filed under: uncultured bacterium
Lineage: Bacteria
Description: bacterial SSU rRNA
Rfam family: Bacterial small subunit ribosomal RNA
Source: RNAcentral